This 165-nucleotide ribosomal RNA is filed under the name uncultured bacterium. RNAcentral's name for it is "partial 16S ribosomal RNA". It matches the Rfam family "Bacterial small subunit ribosomal RNA", at positions 366 to 525 of the family's 1533-position model. The record is from RNAcentral.
GCGACAUGGGCGCAGCUGAUGCAGCCAUGCCGCGUGAGUGAUGAAGGCCUUCGGGUUGUAAAGCUCUUUUUUUGGGAAGAAAAGCUGGGUAUUAAUACCCUUGACCGCUGACAUUUCCUUUACAAGAAGCCCCGGCUUACUCCGUGCCCGCCGCCGCGAUAAUUA